UAUUCCAAGUUGCUUUUUGACUGUGCCUA
RNAcentral lists this non-coding RNA (29 nucleotides) under Rattus norvegicus (Norway rat). The record is from RNAcentral. Lineage: Eukaryota; Metazoa; Chordata; Mammalia; Rodentia; Muridae.